Molecule: long non-coding RNA, 768 nt
Organism: Acanthopagrus latus (yellowfin seabream)
Lineage: Eukaryota; Metazoa; Chordata; Actinopteri; Spariformes; Sparidae
Exons: 4
Source: RefSeq, a predicted model, not a curated record
CUAUGAUGAGUUCAAGGACCGCCGCCGUCUGGCUCGCAUCAUUAGAAUCUUGGAGAAGUCAGCAGAGGGCAGUUUGACUUCACAGGUUGAACCACGGAGGAAAAACGGACGCAGACAGAAAUGGCUCCUGAUGACCGGUGGGCUGUUUCUGCUCCUGGCUGUAACUCUCCUCGUCGGAAAGGACGAUGCUGAUGUACAAGACUAUGAUGCUGAUGUCUUUCUUCCAUCCAAAUUUCUGUGGUCAUUGGGAUGUCUGUUGUUCUGGACUGUCUGGUUGCUCCUGCGCCUCCUCCAGAUGUUCCUCUGGUUGAUCAGCGUCCUGCUGUGGUGUAUCUCCAUUACUGCUUCCCUGCUCUGUCACUGUUUGUCCUUUCUUCUGUCCUGCUUUCUUCUGCUGCUGCAAUAAACCUGUGAUGAUAUGCUUUUUGCCACCACCAGCCCUGUUUACAUUUAUGUUAUGUUUCUCUGUGUCGGUGUUUCACUGCUCAUUCUCAACAGGACCUCACGGGUCAAAUAGAUCAUUUAUAAAUAAGUAUGAAUUAUAUUAGUUAAAGAAGAUUAUAUGCAUUUUAGAAGAAGAAAUAACACAUUCUUCCUCUUACAAAUGAAAAGCUGAAUUCAUAAGGAAAUAGAAUGGCACUCAGCAGAAUGCAUAACUUCACUGAGGCUCAACAGCCCUAUUUAAUUGAAUCAAGCCUAAUCUAAUCUUUUAUUCUGAACACAUCAGAUUGUUCGCAGCCACCUCACUAUGUCUGAAUUUUUUUUUCA